RNAcentral lists this ribosomal RNA (158 nucleotides) under Malassezia pachydermatis. RNAcentral describes it as "5.8S ribosomal RNA". It matches the Rfam family "5.8S ribosomal RNA". From Rfam's summary of the family: 5.8S ribosomal RNA (5.8S rRNA) is a component of the large subunit of the eukaryotic ribosome. It is transcribed by RNA polymerase I as part of the 45S precursor that also contains 18S and 28S rRNA. Lineage: Eukaryota; Fungi; Basidiomycota; Malasseziomycetes; Malasseziales; Malasseziaceae. The record is from RNAcentral.
ACAACUUUCGACAACGGAUCUCUUGGUUCUCCCAUCGAUCACGAACGCAGCGAAACGCGAUAGGUACUGUGCAUUGCCGAAUUCCGUGCCUCAUCGAAUCUUUGAACGCACCUUGCGCUCCAUGGUAUUGGGUGCAGCAUGCCUGUUUGAGUGCCGCG